GACGACUUCUAGUGCAACCCGCUUUCGUGAUGUGACGGGCGGUGUGUACAAGGCCCGGGAACGUAUUCACCGCGGCGUGCUGAUCCGCGAUUACUAGCGAUUCCAGCUUCAUGCAGUCAAGUUACAAACUGCAAUCCGAACUGAGAGCGGUUUUUUGCGAUUGGCUCCCCCUCGCGGGUUUGCAGCGCUUUGUUCCGCCCAUUGUAGCACGUGUGUAGCCCUGGACAUAAAGGCCAUGAGGACUUGACGUCAUCCCCACCUUCCUUCGGCUUGUGGCCGACAGUUUCUUUAGAGUGCCGCCUUGCGGCAUGGCAACUAAAGAUGAGGGUUGCGCUCGUUGCGGGACUUAACCCAACAUCUCACGACACGAGCUGACGACAGCCAUGCAGCACCUAUAUAGCGGCCCUUGCGGGCGCCAACGCUUCUGCUGACUUCCACUACAUUUCGAGCCCAGGUAAGGUUCUUCGCAUUGCAUCUAAAUUAAACCACAUGCUCCCCGCUUGUGCGGGCCCCCGUCAAUUCCU
Molecule: ribosomal RNA, 524 nt
Filed under: uncultured bacterium
Lineage: Bacteria
Description: partial 16S ribosomal RNA
Source: RNAcentral